UAGGAUUUUACCUAAAGUAUUUUCUGCCCAAUGAUUAAAUUUAAAUGGCUGCAGUAUAUUGACUGUACAAAGGUAGCAUAAUAAAUAGUUUCUUAAUUAGGAACUGGAAUGAAUGGAUUAAUGAGAUAUAUAUUUUAUUGUUUUUAUAAUUAAAAUUUUAUUUGUAAGUAAAAAAUCUUAUUUAUAUAUUUGGGACGAAAAGACCCUAUAGAUCUUUAUAGUUUAACUUUAUUAUUUUUGUUUGGAAUAUGUAGUAAAUGAUUUAUUUAAACUAUUUUAUUAGGGUGAUAAUUAAAUUUAAUUAACUUUAUUUUUUUUAUUCAUUAAUUUAUGUAUAUUUUGAUCCAUUAUAUUAAUGAUUAUAAGAGAAAGUUACCUUAGGGAUAACAGCGUAAUUUUGUUGGGGAGUUCAUAUCUAUAAUGAAGUUUGCGACCUCGAUGUUGAAUUAAGAUUAGUUUAUGGGGUAG
RNAcentral lists this ribosomal RNA (468 nucleotides) under Signoretia sp. n. DMT-2019. Its description in RNAcentral is "partial large subunit ribosomal RNA". The stretch from base 1 to 127 matches the Rfam family "Eukaryotic large subunit ribosomal RNA", at positions 2176 to 2334 of the family's 3401-position model. Lineage: Eukaryota; Metazoa; Arthropoda; Insecta; Hemiptera; Cicadellidae. The record is from RNAcentral.